Oryza barthii is the source of this 197-nucleotide non-coding RNA. Lineage: Eukaryota; Viridiplantae; Streptophyta; Magnoliopsida; Poales; Poaceae. The record is from Rfam.
AGUAAGUGUAGUUGUAAGUUUCCGUAUCCAAGGUUUGAUUGUCCGUCUUAUUUAAAUUUUUUUUUUACGAUUAGUAUUUUUAUUGUUAUUAGAUGAUAAAUAUAAAUAGUAUUUUAUGCAUGACUUAUUUUUUAUAAGUUUUUUAAAUAAAAUGGACAGUUAAAUGUUGAACACAGAAGCCUAUAACUACGCUUAAA